Molecule: regulatory RNA element, 70 nt
Rfam family: Tombus virus defective interfering (DI) RNA region 3
Source: Rfam
AGCGAGUAAGACAGACUCUUCAGUCUGAUGUUACGGAGAUGAGUAGAACAAAGUGAGGGACUAUGGGUUA